UACGGGAGGCAGCAGUAAGGAAUAUUGGUCAAUGGACGAAAGUCUGAACCAGCCAUGCCGCGUGAAGGAUUAAGGCCCUAUGGGUUGUAAACUUCUUUUAUAUGGGAAGAAAAAAGAGUAUUCUUACUCACUUGACGGUACCAGAAGAAUAAGCACCGGCUAACUCCGUGCCAGCAGCCGCGGUAAUACGGAGGGUGCAAGCGUUAUCCGGAUUUACUGGGUUUAAAGGGUGCGUAGGUGGGUUUGUAAGUCAGUGGUGAAAUCUCCGAGCUUAACUCGGAAACUGCCAUUGAUACUAUAAAUCUUGAAUUAUAUGGAGGUGAGCGGAAUAUGUCAUGUAGCGGUGAAAUGCUUAGAUAUGACAUAGAACACCAAUUGCGAAGGCAGCUCACUACGUAUAUAUUGACACUGAGGCACGAAAGCGUGGGGAUCAAACAGGAUUAGAUACCCUGGUAGUCCACGCCCUAAACGAUGGAUACUCGACAUCAGCGAUACACUGUUGGUGUCUGAGCGAAAGCAUUAAGUA
This 526-nucleotide ribosomal RNA is filed under the name uncultured Bacteroidota bacterium. Its description in RNAcentral is "bacterial SSU rRNA". It matches the Rfam family "Bacterial small subunit ribosomal RNA", at positions 340 to 866 of the family's 1533-position model. The record is from RNAcentral. Lineage: Bacteria; Pseudomonadati; Bacteroidota.